Molecule: long non-coding RNA, 1027 nt
Organism: Coffea arabica (coffee)
Lineage: Eukaryota; Viridiplantae; Streptophyta; Magnoliopsida; Gentianales; Rubiaceae
Source: RefSeq, a predicted model, not a curated record
UUAUCAAAAUCUUCUUCAUCCAAGAAACAAAUGAGUCAAAAUAGGACCCACCAAAAAGCCAUCCUUUGUUUCAUCCACAUAGAACCGGCUUCCUUAUCAAAAUCUUCUUCUAGCAGCCAUUCAUCACCGUCUACUAUAGAAUCCUCUCUGAUUCUCCAUAGUUAGCCAUCCUUCAAUUGCUGCAAAUUAAGCUACGAUAAUUUCUCUGGAAUAACUACAAAUUCCCUCUUCUCAUACUCCAUAUUCACUUGAAAGUUUUCACCUUUGAUUACAAGUGCUCCAGUUGAAGAGAGAAGCAUUGGAAGGACAUGAAGUAGAUUUCUAAUCCAAAGUUGAUAACAAAUGAGAUUAAAAGGAAAGUAAUGCAGGUAAAUAGAAAAAGGGAACGAUCAAGAACAUUGCAAGCCUAUUUAAAACAAGUGUUAGGACAGUCCGGAGAAUUUGGAAGCUAGCAGCAAUUACUUCUAUAGAUGGAGGAGUUGAUGUAUCACGCAGAUUUCCUAAAAGAUGCGGGAGAAAACGAGUGGAGAUUGAUUUUACUUUGAUCAUGGCAAUUCCUCUUUGGCGCCGAACAAACAUCAGGUCACUUUCCAGUGAAAUGAAAGUGUCCAAAUCAACCCUUCACCGACGAAUUAAAGAAGGUGCUAUAAGGCCACACUCAAAUGCACUCAAACCACAAUUGACAAAUCAGAAUAAACAAGUACUUAAACUGUAUUAAUCAUGUGUUUUGAACAAAAUGAUGGUUGAAGUCAAGCAAUCAAGCCUUUUGAUUUUGUGGUGCAAGCUUUUGAUUGGGCAAAGAAUAUAGAAGCACUUUUAUAUACUAGUGAUUUUUGGAUUGAUUGCUUUUAUUUCAAUUUGCAAGAUUUUAGAAUAGCUCUGUAAAGUUAGCUUGAUGUUAGUAGCAGUAGUAUGACUUUUGUACAAAAGGGAAAAUGUGCAAUGCUGAGUGAAGCUAUGUACAUGUAUAGACAUUGAAGUACUACUUUUGUUGGAGUUUUUGAAACUGUCAAUAGCAUUAUUCUAU